RNAcentral lists this ribosomal RNA (433 nucleotides) under uncultured bacterium. Its description in RNAcentral is "partial 16S ribosomal RNA". It matches the Rfam family "Bacterial small subunit ribosomal RNA", at positions 29 to 507 of the family's 1533-position model. The record is from RNAcentral.
AACGAACGCUGGCGGCAUGCCUAACACAUGCAAGUCGAACGAGACCUUCGGGUCUAGUGGCGCACGGGUGCGUAACGCGUGGGAAUCUGCCCUUCGGUUGGGAAUAACUGAGAGAAAUUUCAGCUAAUACCUUAUAAUGUCUUCGGCCCAAAGAUUUAUCGCCGAGGGAUGAGCCCGCGUAGGAUUAGGUAGUUGGUGGGGUAAUGGCCUACCAAGCCGACGAUCCUUAGCUGGGCUGAGAGGAUGAUCAGCCACACUGGGACUGAGACACGGCCCAGACUCCUACGGGAGGCAGCAGUGGGGAAUAUUGGACAAUGGGCGAAAGGCUGAUCCAGCAAUGGCGCGGGAGUGAUGAAGGGCUUAGGGUUGGAAAGCUCUUUUACCCGGGAUGAUAAUGACAGUACCGGGAGAAUAAGCUCCGGCUAACUCCGUG